This 490-nucleotide ribosomal RNA is filed under the name uncultured bacterium. RNAcentral's name for it is "partial 16S ribosomal RNA". It matches the Rfam family "Bacterial small subunit ribosomal RNA", at positions 30 to 507 of the family's 1533-position model. The record is from RNAcentral.
AUUGAACGCUGGCGGCAGGCCUAACACAUGCCAGUCGAACGGUAACAGGAAGCAGCUUGCUGCUUUGCUGACGAGUGGCGGCCGGGUGAGUAAUGUCUGGGAAACUGCCCGAUGGAGGGGGAUAACUACUGGAAACGGUAGCUAAUACCGCAUAACGUCGCAAGACCAAAGAGGGGGACCUUAGGGCCUCUUGCCAUCGGAUGUGCCCAGAUGGGAUUAGCUAGUAGGUGGGGUAACGGCUCACCUAGGCGACGAUCCCUAGCUGGUCUGAGAGGAUGACCAGCCACACUGGAACUGAGACACGGUCCAGACUCCUACGGGAGGCAGCAGUGGGGAAUAUUGCACAAUGGGCGCAAGCCUGAUGCAGCCAUGCCGCGUGUAUGAAGAAGGCCUUCGGGUUGUAAAGUACUUUCAGCGGGGAGGAAGGGAGUAAAGUUAAUACCUUUGCUCAUUGACGUUACCCGCAGAAGAAGCACCGGCUAACUCCGUG